CGUGAAGGAUAACGUUGCGUCAGCAACGGCCCGGAGGGCGAGGCGAAGCCGAGUCAUCCUGCACGACCCACCA
This 73-nucleotide small RNA is filed under the name Salmonella enterica. RNAcentral describes it as "partial RtT sRNA". It matches the Rfam family "RtT RNA", at positions 54 to 130 of the family's 130-position model. From Rfam's summary of the family: This family represents a bacterial cis-regulatory element known as RtT RNA. The exact function of RtT is unknown although it is thought that it may be involved in changing the cellular response in relation to amino acid starvation. The record is from RNAcentral. RNAcentral also lists the same sequence under 1 other name. Lineage: Bacteria; Pseudomonadati; Pseudomonadota; Gammaproteobacteria; Enterobacterales; Enterobacteriaceae.